UGAGUGUAGGCUUUGCCUGCUAUCUCUUACCCAUGUCUUUUGAGUACCUUACGUUUCCUCGGCGGGUCCGCCCGCCGAUUGGACAAUUUAAACCAUUUGCAGUUGCAAUCAGCGUCUGAAAAAACUUAAUAGUUACAACUUUCAACAACGGAUCUCUUGGUUCUGGCAUCGAUGAAGAACGCAGCGAAAUGCGAUAAGUAGUGUGAAUUGCAGAAUUCAGUGAAUCAUCGAAUCUUUGAACGCACAUUGCGCCCCUUGGUAUUCCAUGGGGCAUGCCUGUUCGAGCGUCAUUUGUACCUUCAAGCUCUGCUUGGUGUUGGGUGUUUGUCUCGCCUCUGCGUGUAGACUCGCCUCAAAACAAUUGGCAGCCGGCGUAUUGAUUUCGGAGCGCAGUACAUCUCGCGCUUUGCACUCAUAACGACGACGUCCAAAAGUACAUUUUUACACUCUUGACCUCGGAUCAGGUAGGGAUACCCGCUGAACUUAAGCAUAUCAAAGUGGGAAGGAAA
Molecule: ribosomal RNA, 509 nt
Filed under: Didymella macrostoma
Lineage: Eukaryota; Fungi; Ascomycota; Dothideomycetes; Pleosporales; Didymellaceae
Description: eukaryotic LSU rRNA
Rfam family: 5.8S ribosomal RNA (bases 137-290)
Source: RNAcentral